This 254-nucleotide ribosomal RNA is filed under the name uncultured bacterium. Its description in RNAcentral is "partial 16S ribosomal RNA". It matches the Rfam family "Bacterial small subunit ribosomal RNA", at positions 524 to 776 of the family's 1533-position model. The record is from RNAcentral.
GACGUAGGGCGCGAGCGUUGUCCGGAAUUAUUGGGCGUAAAGAGCUCGUAGGCGGCUCAGUAAGUCAGGUGUGAAAACUCCAGGCUCAACCUGGAGACGCCACCUGAUACUGCUGUGGCUAGAGUCCGGUAGGGGAGCAUGGAAUUCCUGGUGUAGCGGUGAAAUGCGCAGAUAUCAGGAGGAACACCAGUGGCGAAGGCGGUGCUCUGGGCCGGAACUGACGCUGAGGAGCGAAAGCGUGGGGAGCAAACAGG